RNAcentral lists this ribosomal RNA (42 nucleotides) under Barytelphusa cunicularis. RNAcentral's name for it is "partial 12S ribosomal RNA". The record is from RNAcentral. Lineage: Eukaryota; Metazoa; Arthropoda; Malacostraca; Decapoda; Gecarcinucidae.
GUAACAUAGUAGGUGUACUGGAANGUGUAUCUGGAAUUAUAG